This 497-nucleotide ribosomal RNA is filed under the name uncultured bacterium. Its description in RNAcentral is "partial 16S ribosomal RNA". It matches the Rfam family "Bacterial small subunit ribosomal RNA", at positions 28 to 507 of the family's 1533-position model. The record is from RNAcentral.
GAUGAACGCUGGCGGCGUGCCUAAUACAUGCAAGUAGAACGCUGAAGCUUGGUGCUUGCACCGAGCGGAUGAGUUGCGAACGGGUGAGUAACGCGUAGGUAACCUGCCUCUUAGCGGGGGAUAACUAUUGGAAACGAUAGCUAAUACCGCAUAAAAGUCGAUAUCGCAUGAUAUUGAUUUGAAAGGUGCAAAUGCAUCACUAAGAGAUGGACCUGCGUUGUAUUAGCUAGUUGGUGAGGUAACGGCUCACCAAGGCGACGAUACAUAGCCGACCUGAGGGGGUGAUCGGCCACACUGGGACUGAGACACGGCCCAGACUCCUACGGGAGGCAGCAGUAGGGAAUCUUCGGCAAUGGGGGCAACCCUGACCGAGCAACGCCGCGUGAGUGAAGAAGGUUUUCGGAUCGUAAAGCUCUGUUGUAAGAGAAGAACGAGUGUGAGAGUGGAAAGUUCACACUGUGACGGUAACUUACCAGAAAGAGACGGCUAACUACGUG